Bos taurus (domestic cattle) is the source of this 1122-nucleotide long non-coding RNA. The record is from Ensembl. Lineage: Eukaryota; Metazoa; Chordata; Mammalia; Artiodactyla; Bovidae.
CGAGCUUAACUUUCCUGCAUUUCAUAGUGGAUUACACUUCCCUAAAUUUUUCAGACAGUAUUUCUUUUUCUAGCUCCUCUUGACAUUCAGAGACCUCAAGGAUAUAUAUAUAUAUAUAUAUACACACACACACAUAUAUAUAUAUAUAUAUAUGUGUGUGUAUAUACAUAUGUAUAUAUAAAAUAUUAUAUGUAUCUAUAAUCAAGGAUCUAUGUAAUAUAGCUAUAUCCACACAUUCAUACUCAUUGCCUCUCUAAACUCUCCCCCCAAAAUCACGAUUGAUCCCCUCUAUGUGGAUGUCUCCUACAUCUCUCUAAGCGCACACACUGAGAGCAAUCUCUAACAACUUUUAGUACCACAAAUGAAAUAUACCAUAUUUAAAACACCUUUCAAACAUGGUUUUCAUUUCCUGGAGGUUCUAUUUCCACAAUGAGGCUACCAAAGUUCAAGAACCUCAUCCACCACUGCCUACUCUUUCCAACUUCAUUCUCAAUUCAGUUCAGUCGCGUCCAACUUUGUUUCCCAGCAUCAGGGUCUUUUCCCGUGAGUCAGUUCUCUGCGUCAGGUGGCCAAAGUAUUGGAGUUUUGGCUUCAGCAUCAGUCCUUUCAAUGAAUAUUCAGGACUGAUUUCCUUUAGGAUUGACUGGUUUGACCUCAUUGCUUCAUUCUCAAGCCUUUUCAACCAAUAGAUAACUUUUAAAAUCCCCAGAAUAUCUUUUAUGGUUUCCCACCUAUUUCUAUUGCUACUCCACUUGGUCAAGCCUCUACUAUCAUUUUGGGUGAAUUAUUGUGCUGGCCUUCCCCACUGUGGACCCCUUAUUAUACACGCUAACUAUCCUUUAAACUCCAGACUGAUGAUGUCUCCUGGUCAGAACCUUUCAGUAACUCUUUAUUUUCUACACACUAGGUUUGUCAGUCUGGCACUUAAAAUGCUCCAUGUCCUGGUUCUACAAUAUCUUUUUCAUCUUUCACCUUUACUUUUCUCACUUUCCAGCCAGAUUGUAUUAGUUAGUAUGUCUUGUGGUUACCAAAUCCAUUCUUCUGCUUAAGCUUUUCCUUCUGCUUAGAUACUAGAAAGACAUUUUAAUAUGUCCAAAUCCUACUUAAGGUCUUAGCUCAAAU